RNAcentral lists this ribosomal RNA (400 nucleotides) under uncultured fungus. Its description in RNAcentral is "eukaryotic LSU rRNA". The stretch from base 1 to 108 matches the Rfam family "5.8S ribosomal RNA", at positions 48 to 154 of the family's 154-position model. The record is from RNAcentral. Lineage: Eukaryota; Fungi.
GCGAAAUGCGAUAAGUAAUGUGAAUUGCAGAAUUCAGUGAAUCAUCGAAUCUUUGAACGCACCUUGCGCCCUUUGGUUAUUCCGAAGGGCAUGCCUGUUUGAGUAUCAUGAACACCUCAACUCUCACGGUUUCUCGUGAUGAGCUUGGACUUGGGAGUUUUGUUGGCCUCUGUGGUCAGCUCUCCUCAAAUGGAUUAGCUUGCCGGUGUUCGGUGGCAUCACAAGUGUGAUAACUAUCUACGCUCGUGAUUGUCUGCCGGGUAUCCUCUGAUCACACAGAGGUUCUCCGGGGCUCACAAACGUCUCUCUUCAGCAGAGACAGCUUUUUGAAGUUCGAUCUCAAAUCAGGUAGGACUACCCGCUGAACUUAAGCAUAUCAAUAAGCGGAGGAAAAGAAACU